RNAcentral lists this ribosomal RNA (496 nucleotides) under uncultured bacterium. RNAcentral describes it as "partial 16S ribosomal RNA". It matches the Rfam family "Bacterial small subunit ribosomal RNA", at positions 29 to 507 of the family's 1533-position model. The record is from RNAcentral.
AUGAACGCUGGCGGCGUGCCUAAUACAUGCAAGUCGAGCGAACAGACGAGGAGCUUGCUCCUCUGACGUUAGCGGCGGACGGGUGAGUAACACGUGGAUAACCUACCUAUAAGACUGGGAUAACUUCGGGAAACCGGAGCUAAUACCGGAUAAUAUAUUGAACCGCAUGGUUCAAUAGUGAAAGACGGUUUUGCUGUCACUUAUAGAUGGAUCCGCGCCGCAUUAGCUAGUUGGUAAGGUAACGGCUUACCAAGGCAACGAUGCGUAGCCGACCUGAGAGGGUGAUCGGCCACACUGGAACUGAGACACGGUCCAGACUCCUACGGGAGGCAGCAGUAGGGAAUCUCCCGCAAAGGGCGAAAGCCUGACGGAGCAACGCCGCGUGAGUGAUGAAGGUCUUCGGAUCGUAAAACUCUGUUAUUAGGGAAGAACAAAUGUGUAAGUAACUAUGCACGUCUUGACGGUACCUAAUCAGAAAGCCACGGCUAACUACGUG